GUGAAUCAUCGAAUCUUUGAACGCAAAUUGCACUUCUCGGCAUUCCGGAAAGUAUGCCUGUUUGAGGGUCAGUUAAAUAAAAAUCGGUGUUGUUGCUGCCUUCCGCGGCGACGCGCUGGAUUUGAGUCGCCUUACCUCUGGUUAAGCUUCUUAUAAUUUUUGCAUGAUUUUCGAACGUAUUUAAAUCGCUUACGUACGUUUGAGAUAUCGAAUGCUUAUUAUGUUCGGUCA
Molecule: unclassified non-coding RNA, 231 nt
Filed under: Glomus sp.
Lineage: Eukaryota; Fungi; Glomeromycota; Glomeromycetes; Glomerales; Glomeraceae
Description: partial contains 5.8S ribosomal RNA and internal transcribed spacer 2
Rfam family: 5.8S ribosomal RNA (bases 1-71)
Source: RNAcentral